GCUGGGCGUAGACCCGAAACCAGGUGAUCUAUCCAUGGUCAGGAUGAAGGUUGGGUAACACCAGCUGGAGGUCCGAACCGACUAAUGUUGCAAAAUUAGCGGAUGAACUGUGGAUAGGGGUGAAAGGCUAAUCAAACCUGGAAAUAGCUGGUUCUCCCCGAAAACUAUUUAGGUAGUGCGUCAUGUAUUGCUCCAGGGGGGUAGAGCACUGUAAUGGUUGUGGGGG
Molecule: ribosomal RNA, 226 nt
Filed under: uncultured bacterium
Lineage: Bacteria
Description: partial 23S ribosomal RNA
Rfam family: Bacterial large subunit ribosomal RNA
Source: RNAcentral